GAUGAACGCUGGCGGCGUGCUUAAUACAUGCAAGUCGAGCGGACAGACCCUGAUCUUGCGGCGCUGUCGUUAGCGGCGGGCGGGUGUGUCACACGUGUAUCACCUCCCUAACUGUCUGGGAUAACUUCGGAACAGGGGCGCUUAUAGCGGAUGAUCUCUUGCAGCGCAUUGUGCGUUAGUAAGAUACGGCUUUGGUGGAUGUUCUCGAUGGAUCCGGGCCGCAUGGGCUAGUUGGUCAGGUACAGGGUUAUCACGGCAACGAUGCGUAGCCGGACUGAUAGAGGGAUCGGCCACACUGGAACUGAGACGCGGUCCAGACUCCUACGGGAGGCAGCAGUAUGGAAUCGUCCGCAAUGGGCGAAAGCCUGACGGAGCAACGCCGCGUGAGUGAUGAAGGUCUUCGGAUCGUAAAACUCUGUUAUUAGGUAAGAACAAAUGUGGAAGUAACUAUGCACGUCUUGACGGUACCUAAUCAGAAAGCCACGGCUAACUACGUG
RNAcentral lists this ribosomal RNA (497 nucleotides) under uncultured bacterium. RNAcentral's name for it is "partial 16S ribosomal RNA". It matches the Rfam family "Bacterial small subunit ribosomal RNA", at positions 28 to 507 of the family's 1533-position model. The record is from RNAcentral.